GCGGCCUCCGGGCAGGCGGACCUCCACCGGGUGGGCGCGGCAGGCGGGCUGUGCGGGCAGGAAGAGCAACGAGCUUGAGAGUGGGAGAUGGGGUGCAACGGCGGGCCUCUCCGGGGAGGUGACACUGCCGCUGAGACCCGAAUAGAAGGGCGCGACCGGCGGGGGAACAGCAGGCGCCGAGGCGGACCCAGGGGCAGCUGCGGCUGGUCCAUGUGGAGCUCCUUCAAGCCGAACAUCCGACACCAGUGUCUGUGGGGUGUGGGCCCGGCCCCAGGAGCGGGGCCUGGGCAGCCCCGUGUGUUGAGGAAGGAAGGCAGGGCCCCCGCUCCCCGGGCCUGACCCCACUGCUUCAGCCCCCUCCUGCCUGCCUACAGCCUGGCUUCGAGGGCCCAUCAGACAGAGUCUCGCUCUGUCGCCCAGACUGGAGUGCAGUGGCGUGAUCUCGGCUCACUGCAAGCUCCGCCUCCCAGGUUCACACCAUUCUCCUGCCUCAGCCUCCUGAGUAGCUGGGACUACAGGUGCCCGCCACCAUGUCCG
This 537-nucleotide long non-coding RNA is filed under the name Pongo abelii (Sumatran orangutan). RNAcentral describes it as "lincRNA". The stretch from base 252 to 345 matches the Rfam family "mir-940 microRNA precursor family". Lineage: Eukaryota; Metazoa; Chordata; Mammalia; Primates; Hominidae. The record is from RNAcentral.